GAUAGUUGAUGGCGGACCAAUGACGCGAUCAAGGGCAAAGCAAGUGAAACAAGAGAUGGGAUUGCUCGUUUAAGAAACCAUUGAUGGAACCAUGUUCGGGACUCAAAAUGGAGUAACUUUCAUGUUCGGGUCGAAGGCCGAAUCAACUUGGAUCAAUUUGUUAUCAAGCGACGAAAGCGGAGGCUGAAGAUAACACCAUGCGGCCGCACAGGUAAAACCACAUGCAGCCGCACACAUGCAUACCGAAAACCAAAAGUGAAAUUUCAGAUGAACCAUGCGACCGCAUGGAUUUACACCAUGCGGCCGUACAAGCCAAAAAAAAUUGGCGAAUUUUCUAUUUUUGGCCGAAUUUCCUAGUUUCGAUAGAAUUCUUAUGGAAUCAAAUUAUUACCAUAAUUUGAUGAUUUUGGACGUUUUUAUUCAUUAGUAUAAAUAAGAGAUUACUUUUCAUUGGACCUUUGAACUUUUGACUUUGAAUUAAUAUUACAGAGACAGAAAUUUCUUCUUUCAAUUUAUUGUUCUUCUUGAACAAUCUUGGAACUUAUCAAGAUUCAACUUCUUGUAGCGUUCUAUCAAUCGGAUUAUGGGUUCUUUUAAUUGUAAUCAAGGGGCUUUAGGUUCUUCGCUAAUCUAGGGUUUCAUGGUUCAAUUCUUGGGGUUCGAGAUCCAAAAUCGGGUUAGUAUUGGUGUUCUUGGGUUCCGCAUCAAUCUCGUUGUGGGUUUCAUAGUUUCCAUUGCUACGGGGUUCGCAUCAGUUGGUAUUAGAGCUUUGGUUCCAAUUUAAUCAGGUUAUAUCCUUUGUUUUCUAAUUUUUUUUUUUUUGAAUUCCUUGUGUUCUUGUGUCCAGAAGGUUUUCUUGAUCUUUGAUCCAAAAAUUUCGUCAAAAAAUCUUCAAAUUCCGUUUUUGGGCUCAAUUUUUGCCCAAAUCAGUUUUUGUUUUCUUUGUUGGUUUUGUUAUUGAUUUCCGAAUCUAAAAAAAAUUACUGUUCAUCCGUACAGUAAAAAAAAUUGUUAAAUAUUAUUGAUCUGUCAAAUACCAACUUUUAUUAUUCAUUAUCGUUUCUAAAUUACUUGGACACAUUGAAUCAUUCCAUUCCUUCAAUUCAAGUUGAAUUUUAAAAGUUUUCUUUGAGUCCUUUGAUUACAAUUAUUGAGUCACAUCCUGUUUGGAGAAUUCUACACGAUUUGAUUGAUUGAUUGAGUUCAUUGAUUUUUCCUAGAAGCAAUUGUUGAAAGAAUUGAGUGGUAAAAGGCAGAGAGGUGAGCUUAAUAGAGGGUAAAAGCCCUUGUGUGUUUUCGAUUGACUUUUGGUGAGGCAGUAAAAUAAAAUUUUAGUGUUAGGAUGUUAGAAAGGGCAGAAUCAAAGUCAAGCUGACAAGGCAAUAAUAGUAAUGCAUCGAAGGAUUUAGUGUAAAGGUUUGAGAGGGCAUUUGGAGAUGUGAGAGAUAGGUUGGAGAAGCAAGAGGCUUGGAUGAAUAGAUUAGAUACAUCGGUGGCUAAUCUUAGUCGGGGGCAUCGAGUGGAUGUAUCCAAUGCCAGAGGACCAGAUAGAUGGGAGCCUAGGAGGGAAAGGCGAGAGGAGUAUGGAUAUGGGAGUGACAUGGGAGAAGAUGAAUUUCACGGUGUUAAGAUGCCAAGGAUGAGGAAUAGAGGUGAUAGGUUCGACAGACGGGGUCGGAACGAUCGUGGGGAGGAGUUGGAUGGAAAUUUGGGAAAUAUAAAAAUGACAGUUCCUUCAUUCAAAGGAAGGAGUGAUCCCGAGGCAUACCUGGAAUGGGAAAGGAAGGUUGAAAUGAUCUUUGAGUGUUAUAACUACUCGGAGGAGAAAAAGGGAAAGUUAGCAAUUUUGGAGUUCAGUGACUAUGCAAUUUCAUGGUGGGAUCAAGUGAUUACUUCACAACGUAGGAGUGAGGGAAGACCAAUCAGCACUUGGGAGGAAUUGAAGUCAUUGAUGAGAAAGAGGUUUGUUCCUAGCCACUAUUACCGAGAGAUCCAUCAAAAACUGGAAGGUCUAUAUCAAUGGUCGAAAAGUGUAGAGGACUAUCAUAAGGAGAUGGAAAUACUCAUGAUUAGGGCCAAUGUGGUGGAGGAUUGGGAGGCUACCAUGGCACGAUUCUUGAAUGGGUUGAAUAGGGAAAUUGCCAAUGUAAUGGAGUUGCAACAUUAUGUGGAGUUGGAAGACAUGUUGCAUGUGGCUAUGAAGGUAGAGAGAUAAUUGAAGAGGAAAGGGACAACUAGGCAGCCGUUAGGAACUUCGAGUGUUAAUCCAUCUUGGAAGCCAGGGUGGAACAACAACAAUAAAGGUGAUAAAGCUUUACCUAAAGGUAGGAAUGAGUGGCAGAAAGGGAAAGAAGAAAGUGCUAGCAAAACAGCACCCAAAACAGAUUCACAACCAUCAAGGAAUCGAGACAUCAAGUGUUUCAGAUGCUUGGGGUCAGGGCACAUUGCUUCUCAAUGCCUAAAUAAAAUGGUAAUGGUUUUGUUGGGUAAUGGAGAGGUGGUGAGUGAAAGUGAAGGAGAGUUUGAGGACAUGCCUGCAUUGGAGGACGUUGAAGAAGAAGAAAAAUUGGAGUUUGCUGUUGGGGAAUCGUUCUCUUAACACUCAAGUCAAAGUGGAUGAUUCGAAGCAGUGAGAAAAUAUAUUCCACACACGUUGUUACAUCAACGAUAAGGUAUGUAGUAUGAUUAUUGAUGGUGGGAGUUGCACGAAUGUAGCUAGUACAACUUUAGUUGAGAAAUUAGGACUAGCAUUGUUAAGACACCCUAGGCCUUAUAAGUUGCAAUGGUUGAAUGAAAGUGGGGAAGUUAGGGUGAAUAAAAGAGUUUUAAUUAAUUUCUCAAUUGGGAGUUAUAGUGACAAAGUAGUAUGUGAUGUGGUGCCUAAGCAUGUGGGUCAUAUCUUGUUAGGAAGACCAUGGCAAUAUGAUAGAAGGGUCACACAUGAUGGAUAUAGGAAUCGUUAUAGCUUUGUUAAGGAUGGGAAGACUAUUACUCUUGCGCCAUUAACACCGGCACAAGUGUAUGGAGAUCAAAUCAAGCUAAAAAGUGAGGAAGAUGAGAGAAUAAGAGAGUCAGGAAAAAGCAGAGGCAAUAGUGAAACCACCAAUAAGAGAGAAAAUAGUGAGGUGACUGAGAGUGGAGAAAAGAGAGAGAAGCCACAUGAGCGGAGAGAAAAAGAGUCAGUUGAGAGGAGAGAAAAAAAGUCAGUUGAGCGGAGAGAAAAGCCAAAGGUCAACUUCUAUGCAAAAGAGAGUGAGUUGAGAAAGGCUAUGAGCAAUAAUAGGCAAAUGAUAUUGUUAGUGUACAUGGAGUCCCUCCUCAAUUUUGAGGAUUCUAACACAUCCCUCCCUAAUUUGGUUAAGUCUUUAUUGCAGGAGUUCGAUGAUGUGUUUCCUGAGGAGAUGCCAAGUGGAUUGCCACCAAUUAGAGGCAUCGAGCACCAGAUUGACUUUGUACCCGGAGCUGUCAUAUCGAAUCGACCAGCUUACCGAAGCAAUCCCGAGGAGACGAAGGAGCUUCAAAAGUAGGUGGAGGAGUUGAUGAGCAAAGAUUAUGUCAGGGAGAGCAUGACUCCAUGUGCUGUACCUAUCUUGCUGGUGCCUAAGAAGGACGGGACUUGGAGAAUGUGCGUGGAUUGCCGAGCUAUCAACAAUAUCACAAUAAAGUAUCGUCACCCAAUACCUAGGCUAGAUGAUUUGCUUGAUGGGUUGCAUGGUGCUUGCAUUUUUAGUAAGAUUGAUCUUAAUAGUGGGUAUCAUCAAAUCCGCAUGCGGGAGAGUGAUGAAUGGAAACAGCGUUUAAGACUAAGUAUGGAUUGUAUGAAUGGUUAGUUAUGCCGUUUGGACCCACUAAUGCACCGAGCACUUUUAUGCGUUUAAUGAACCAUGUUUUGCGUGCUUUUAUUGGGAAAUUUGUUGUAGUUUAUUUUGAUGACAUCUUAAUCUAUAGCAAAAACCUAGAUGAGCAUUUAGAACAUUUAAAUUGUGUGCUUAUUGUGUUGCGAAAGGAACAACUGUAUGCUAAUUUCAAAAAGUGCACAUUUUAAAUAGAUAGAGUUGUUUUCCUAGGAUUUGUGGUUAGUGCUAACAGGGUGGAAGUCGAUGAAGAAAAGAUAAAAGCUAUUAAAUAAUGGCCAACACCUAAGACUAUAACUGAAGUUAGGAGUUUUCAUGGAUUGGCUAGUUUUUAUAGGCGAUUUGUAAGAGAUUUUAGCACCAUCACAAUACCGUUGACUGAAAUAAUAAAGAAGAGUGUAGCUUUUCAUUGGGGAGAAUCUCAAGAAAUUGCAUUUAACACCAUUAAGGAUAAGCUACGUAAAGCACCCGUUUUGGCAUUACCAAAUUUUGAUAAAACAUUCGAGGUUGAGUGUGAUGCAUCAGGAAUAGGUAUAGGAGCAGUGUUAAUGCAAGAAAGGAGAUCUAUAGCUUACUUUAGCGAAAAGUUGAGUGGGGCAGCAUUGAAUUAUCCGACAUAUGACAAGGAGUUGUAUUCACUUGUUCGAGCAUUGGAGACUUGGCAACACUACUUAUGGCCAAAGGAAUUCGUGAUACACACCGAUCAUGAAUCUUUAAAGCAUUUGCAAGGUCAAGGUAAGUUGAACAAAAGACAUGCGAGAUUGGUGGAGUUUAUCGAGACAUUUCCCUACGUCAUCAAGUACAAACAAGGUAACGAAAAUAUAGUUGCUGAUCCAUUGUCUCGAAGGUACGUGCUUUUAAAUUCAUUAAGUGCUAAAUUACUUGAUUUCGAGCAUAUUAAGGGCAUGUAUGAAUCUGAUUGUGAUUUUUCUAGUAUUUAUGCUUCAUGUGACAAAGGUGCAUUUGAUAAAUUCUGUAGGCAUGAAGGAUAUUUGUUUAGGGAAGAUAAGUUGUGCAUUUCUAAUUGUUCUUUGUGUGAAUUAUUGGUAAGGGAAGCACAAGGGGGUGGUUUAAUGGGACACUUCGAGGUUCAAAAGACUUUAGACAUGUUAGGGGAACAUUUUUAUUGGCCUAAAAUGCGACAUGACGUAGAACAAAUUUGUGGAAAGUGCAUAACUUGUAAAAAGGCUAAGUCUAAGGUUCAACCCCAUGGUUUGUAUACUCCUUUGCCUGUGUCUAGUGAACCUUAGGUAGACAUAUCUAUGGACUUUGUGUUAGGUUUGCCUAGGACAAAAAGGGGUCGGGAUUCAAUAUUUGUCGUGGUCGAUAGGUUUAGUAAGAUGGCGCACUUCAUACCAUGUCAUAAAACUGACGAUGCUACUGAUAUGGCAGACUUAUUCUUCAAGGAAAUAGUACGUUUACAUGGAGUACCUAAAAGUAUAAUGUCUGAUAGGGACGUGAAGUUUUUGAGUCAUUUUUGGCGUGUUCUGAGGAGUAAGUUAGGAACUAAGUUAUUAUUUUCUACAACUUGUCACCCACAAACAGAUGGACAAACUGAGCUAGUUAAUCGAACUAUGACUCAACUACUUAGUACAGUAUCAAUAAAAAUCUGAAAUCUUGGGAAGAGUGUUUACCAUUUAUAGAGUUUGCAUAUAAUUGAGCUACACAUUCUACUACUUCAUUUUCUCCUUUUGAAAUUGUUUAUGGUUUUAAUCCACUAACACCUAUGGAUUUAAUGCCUUUGCCUGUGCAUGAACGAGGUAGCUUGGAUGGAAAAUGAAAAGUCUAGAUGGUGAAAACACUCCAUGAAAAGGUUAGGAUGCAGAUCGAAGAGAAAAGAAAGCUGAUUACCUCAAAAGCAAAUAAAGGAAGAAGACGCGAUAGAUUUGAGCCUAGAGAUUGGGUCUGGCUGCAUUUUAGAAAAGAGCAUUUUCCAUAACAGAGGAAGUCAAAAUUGCAACCACGAGGCGAUGGACCAUUUCAAAUCAUCGAGAGGAUCAAUGACAAUGCAUACAAAGUGGAUUUACCUGGUGAGUGUAAUGUUUCAGCUACUUUUAAUGUAUCUGAUCUCUCUCUGUUUGAUGCAGGUUUAGAUUCGAGGACGAAUCCUUUUGAAGAGGGAGGGAUUGAUAUGAUCUAGGAGUCGAGCCCAACGAAGGCAAGUGUGAGACGAGACCCGUUGAUAGUCGAUGGCAGACUAAUGACGCGAUCAAGGGCAAAGCAAGUAAAACAAGCGAUAAGAUUGCUCGUUCAAGAAACCAUUAAUGGAACCAUGUCUCAAAAUGGAGCAACUUUCAUGUUCGGGUCGAAGGCCGGAUCAACUUGGAUCAAUUUGUUAUCAAGCGACGAAAGCGGAGGCUGAAGACAACACCAUGUAGCCACAUAGGCAAAACCACAUGCG
This 6255-nucleotide long non-coding RNA is filed under the name Olea europaea (common olive). RNAcentral's name for it is "long non-coding RNA (OEUR_LNC009397)". The record is from RNAcentral. Lineage: Eukaryota; Viridiplantae; Streptophyta; Magnoliopsida; Lamiales; Oleaceae.